GGCGUGGGUGCUGCGCCUCAGGGGCAGUCAGCCAGCUGUGGAGCUAAUGGACCAGGAGCGAGGCUGGCAGCUGCUAGAGGAAGCCCAGCCUGAGAGGUUUGCUCUCCUUAGCAGGUGAGGACAGAGGCUGAAGGAGUCACGUUCUCGCUCUGGAGCCCAGUGGGGCAGAGAUGGGAGCGGGUGGCCGGGACUGGGCCAGAUUCCAACAUGUGCAGGGUUGUCAUGCACACAUCAACACGAGCUCUUGUUCUCUCCCAGGGCCAUAGUGACCCACCCAAACCGGGCCCUGAAGAGCAUCCCAUGGCUCCUCCUUCCCAGCCUCCAGGCCAGCCAGGAGGGCGAACACAUGGCCUGCACUGUUCUGUUCACAGAGGUGAACCUGGAGGACCAGGGCGGAGGGUUAACCAGGCCCAGAAGCUGAUGGAACAGGGGGCCAAUAGCUGGUCAGCCAAUGAGAGAUGAUUCUGGUGGUGUAUUGCUUGUAAAUUAAUCCCUCUGCUGGGGGCUCUGUGGUGGGGUUUGGGAGCACCCCACUGGAACCAGAGGGAGCGCUCUGCCCUGCUCAUGUCACUUCUGUUAAGCUCAGUGAAGCCAGCAUCUCGUGAACAGCAGUUGGCAUGGAUCUUAGUCACCUCCUGGCCCCUGAUCACACUCCCUUCCCCUUGCUCUGGCUGGGCUAGGACCCACUGGCCUCACCCAGCCCUCUCAGACAGCUCCGUUCGGUCCCUUUACUUCCUCGGCAGCCCCCUGCUGAUGGAGAAUGAUCCCAAGGCCAUGCGGAAGCAGGUUGUGAAGGCCAUGCUGCAGCAGACAGAGGACAGCAACAUCCACAUUCGAGGCAGAGCGCUGCACGGCCUCAGGAACGCAGUGACCGAGUUCCCAGACAAGGUCAGGAAAAAGCGAGACCAGAUCCUGGGGAGCUUUGUCUGCACCAUAUGCAAAUGCUGCGACCCCACCCGUUCUGGGCACCAUAGAAGGGCUCUGCUGGAUGUUGCGGGACCCCAAGUUGCCUCUGAAGGUGCACGUUGCUGUACCCCUGGUCCUGCAGGCGAGAACGUUCUUUGAGGAUGAGAACAGCGGCCGGAGGCGGGCCUCCAUGGAGCUCUUUGGCCACCUCAGAAAAUUUGUUUCCAAUAAGUCAUCCCUGUUUAGGGCUGAGGUGGAGAAGAGCAUGGGGAUGCUGCUCAUCCACCUACAGGACGGAG
Molecule: long non-coding RNA, 1205 nt
Organism: Mauremys mutica (yellowpond turtle)
Lineage: Eukaryota; Metazoa; Chordata; Testudines; Geoemydidae
Exons: 3
Source: RefSeq, a predicted model, not a curated record